AGCGCAGGAGAACUCGUGAAUUUAGGGAUUUUAUUCUGUUAACACAGGCCAUUGUAUAUUUUUCACUAUUUGGGAAGGAGAACAUAGCAGAUAAAGAUGUUAGUGAAAUUGUUCCAGAGAAUAAUUGAUGCUUGUAAGUUCUGCACCGUAUUUGAAAUGGUAUGCAUCACAUUUUCUGCCGUGCUCAUAAUAGUGUUGGUAGAUAGCUUUGGAUCGUUGAAA
Molecule: non-coding RNA, 222 nt
Organism: Arachis ipaensis
Lineage: Eukaryota; Viridiplantae; Streptophyta; Magnoliopsida; Fabales; Fabaceae
Source: RefSeq, a predicted model, not a curated record